AAGUAUCGAGCCAGCCUAAAAGCUGCAGUUCUCAGGGCAAAAGCAUGUUCUUGAGCUUUAUUUGAAGGGUAUGAUGUUUGCAUAUCAGCUCACGCUCAACCACCACCUAAAACUCUAUCCCUGAUAGUCAAGUCAACCGGUGGAAAUGUGAUUCAUGAGCUAGAUAAAGUAAACAACGUAUGGAAGACGAUCUUUGUGGCUUGUGAGGAAGACGUGGAGGAAGCCUUGGUGGCCGUACAAAAAGGGAUAUGGACUUUCAACGUUGAAUGGCUAAUGGCAUGUAUAAUGAGACCAGAAGUUGACCUGGAGGCCCCUCAAUUUGCUGAGUCCCUAUGAGAAACAAGGUCACCCUAACUUUCAGUUUUGAACAAGCAGCAGCCAGCCAUUUCGUCCUUGUGUAAAUCCACUCUUUUCUCAACUCACUCUAAUUUGGUACAUAAACAAACUCUGAUCGCUCCAUCUCUAUAUUCAUCAGUACAUAAAAGACGAUAAGUUUAUUCAUGGAGAAAGUUGGAUGUAAGUAUGUUUUAGGAAUGGUCCUUCAUUUAGUAACUUUGGGAAUUGUAAAAAUGAGGUAAUGAAGUUCUAUCAAGUUGAAUGUUCUUGUUUAUGUUGGAUGAGACUGAUUCUUGGAUACCAGAAUUAACUUGAAGUACGUGUUUGAGUU
Cucumis sativus (cucumber) is the source of this 667-nucleotide long non-coding RNA. RefSeq lists it as uncharacterized. The record is from RefSeq and is a predicted model, not a curated record. The transcript has 2 exons. NCBI's taxonomy places the organism in Eukaryota, Viridiplantae, Streptophyta, Magnoliopsida, Cucurbitales, Cucurbitaceae.